RNAcentral lists this ribosomal RNA (1347 nucleotides) under metagenome. RNAcentral's name for it is "bacterial LSU rRNA". It matches the Rfam family "Bacterial large subunit ribosomal RNA", at positions 1599 to 2925 of the family's 2925-position model. The record is from RNAcentral.
CCUAUGCUGCCGAGAAAAGCCUCUAGUGAGUGUUGUGGCGGCCCGUACCCUAAACCGACUCAGGUGGUCAGGUAGAGAAUACCAAGGCGAUCGGGUGAACUGUGGUUAAGGAACUCGGCAAAUUGCCCCCGUAACUUCGGGAGAAGGGGGACCUCUGCUGGUGAUGGGCUUUACGUUCUGAGCUGGUGGGGGUCGCAGUGGCCAGGGGGAAGCGACUGUUUACUAAAAACACAGGUCCGUGCGAAGUCGUAAGACGAUGUAUACGGACUGACGCCUGCCCGGUGCCGGAACGUUAAGGGGACCGCUUAGCCAGCUUCGGUUGGCGAAGGUGAGAACUUAAGCGCCGGUAAACGGCGGUGGUAACUAUAACCAUCCUAAGGUAGCGAAAUUCCUUGUCGGGUAAGUUCCGACCUGCACGAAUGGCGUAACGACUUCCCCGCUGUCUCAACCACAGACCCGGCGAAAUUGCACUACGAGUAAAGAUGCUCGUUUCGCGCAGCAGGACGGAAAGACCCCGGGACCUUCACUACAGCUUGACAUUGGCGUUUGGAACGUCUUGUGUAGGAUAGGUGGGAGACUAGGAAGCUGUCACGCUAGUGAUGGUGGAGUCAUUGGUGAAAUACCACUCUGGUCGUUUUGAACGUCUAACUCUGGUCCGUGAUCCGGAUCGGGGACAGUGUCUGGUGGGUAGUUUAACUGGGGCGGUUGCCUCCUAAAGAGUAACGGAGGCGCCCAAAGGUUCCCUCAGCCUGGUUGGCAAUCAGGUGUUGAGUGUAAGUGCACAAGGGAGCUUGACUGUGAGACUGACAGGUCGAGCAGGAGCGAAAGCUGGGACUAGUGAUCCGGCAUCGGCGUGUGGAAGCGGUGUCGCUCAACGGCUAAAAGGUACCCCGGGGAUAACAGGCUGAUCUUCCCCAAGAGUCCAUAUCGACGGGAUGGUUUGGCACCUCGAUGUCGGCUCGUCGCAUCCUGGGGCUGGAGUAAGUCCCAAGGGUUGGGCUGUUCGCCCAUUAAAGCGGUACGCGAGCUGGGUUUAGAACGUCGCGAGACAGUUCGGUCCCUAUCCGCUGCGCGCGCAGGAGACUUGAAGGGGGCUGUCCCUAGUACGAGAGGACCGGGACGGACGAACCUCUGGUGUGCCAGUUGUACCGCCAGGUGCACGGCUGGUUGGCUACGUUCGGAAGGGAUAACCGCUGAAAGCAUCUAAGCGGGAAGCUCGCCUUGAGAUGAGGUCUCCCACCCCGUGAGGGGGUAAGGCUCCCGGUAGAUCACCGGGUUGAUAGGCCGGAGGUGGAAGCACGGUAACGUGUGGAGCUGACCGGUACUAAUAGGCCGAGGACUUGACCG